This 1816-nucleotide long non-coding RNA is filed under the name Triticum aestivum (bread wheat). RNAcentral describes it as "long non-coding RNA (TAES_LNC017268)". The record is from RNAcentral. Lineage: Eukaryota; Viridiplantae; Streptophyta; Magnoliopsida; Poales; Poaceae.
CACUAGGUACAUACUGGACCAACACUUACAGAUCAAGCCGCGGUGACUCCACUCGAUUCUAUCUCAUGGACAGGGAUGCCACCGCAUACAGAUACAGACAAGUACUGCAACACCUUAUUUACCAGUUACCUUUGUGCAGGAAAAAACAACAAGUUCAGUCUUGUCUACUAUCCGUUGAAGGUUGUUCACACUCUGAAAAAACAUAAACAAAUGGAAAGAAACACAUCAUUUUAGAAUAUUAGUGCACACACUUUAAUAUAGAUCAAACUACGAGUACAGCCCCUUUCAAAACAGUUGACUGAAUAUCAUCCUAUACACCAUCACAAUGUGUUAAGUGUCACAACUGUUAGAAUAUAUAACCGUAUUGUAUUUGUAUAGAUAUAUGGUUGUAUAACCGUAUUGUAUUUGUAUAGAUAUACGGUUGUAUAACCGUAUUGUAUUUGUAUAGAUAUACGGUUGUAUACGUGUGGUCCCCUAUCUUACAACAACUCACAAGAAAUGCAGCUAACUAAGUACAGACCACGAAAUAGUUAUCACAGCUACAGAGAUCAUGUAGCCUCCUAUAUACAGAUAUCCUGAAGAUUCGCAAUGAAUACUGAACAGGCAGUGGCAGGUCUUGUCUGAGAUCUUUGUAGAGGUCGAACAAUGCUAAGGAAACAACUAAUUACCUAAUCCGAAGUUUCUUACAGCAUCCAAAUUCAAAGCCUGUAAGUGCAGCGGGAACGGAAUACAUCAUGACAGGUGGAUUUGAACAGUACAGAAAAACCUUGUCAUAUCUUUGGUUAUUCUCAUUACCGCUCAUCAGUACAGAAGACAUGAAUGAAAUAAGUUGGAGGCUGAACUCGAUUAAGUAAUCUAAAAACGAGAGAAAUGAUCGGUUGUUCUGAAAGUAGUUUUCUCUGGAUGCCACCUUCAGGUUUCAAAAAAAGAAAAAAAAAACUAUGCUAGCUUUACAAUUGGAUCUGAUCAGCAAGGUCGUAUUUGCCCGUAAGGGUUUCUCUCAACUCAAAUGCAGGUGUAUCAAUUUCAGCAACACCGUGCAUCUCAAAUACUCCCUCCGUUCCUAAAUACUUGUCUUUCUAGGCAUUUCAACAAGUGACUACAUACGGAGUAAAAUGAGUGAAUCUACACUCUAAAAUAUGUCUACAUACAUCCGUAUGUGAUAUUCAUUUGAAAUGCCUAGAAAGACAAGUAUUUAGAGACGGAGGGAGUAGUACAACUGUUAUUACUGAAAGUGCAUGCCGCCUUAUGGCCAUUUGAUGAUCUCCCCCAAAGUCACGUGUUCCCUAUAGCAGGAGUAAGGAUAAACAUUCAAGCAGGAAAAAGGUACUACAAAAUUGAAUUUAAGAUGCUUCUGAAAUCUAUCUACUCAACAUAAGUACAAACAACACCGUGUGUAAUAUAAUGGUUCAUUAAUAAUUCAUACCUUGGGAACUUUAGGCAAUCUCUUCCUCGCUGAUUCAUUCACUGCUCUUCAUAGCUUUCUUCACUUCACCAUGUACUGUAGGGGCUCCAGUUUAGGACAACUGGGAGCAAACGAUAGCUUGGGUAACCACUGCAGAAUCCACGCGAAGAAGCAGUGCCCUUUCCGUCAGUAGCAUGAUCACUAUGCAGCAGUAGCGCAGAGGCAGUGCCCGAGCGGCGCUGAGAGGUUGAAUGUCGAGUGCGCCUACCGCGUACAAGUUGCACGGCCAGUGGCAUCAGGGCCUCCUCGGUCGCCUCGCCCAUUUGAGCUGCCAGUAGCACAUCAAAGUGUCCUCCUUGGUGCAUCAAGGGUUUGGAAAGGCUGAAGAAAAUAUUCUGCAACAGUUUCUAC